CCUACGGGGGUCAGCAGUGAGGAAUAUUGGUCAAUGGACGCAAGUCUGAACCAGCCAAGUAGCGCGCAGGAUGACGGCCCUCCGGGUUGUAAACUGCUUUUAGUUGGGAAUAAAAGGGGGCUCGUGAGCCCCGUAUUGUAUGUACCAUCAGAAAAAGGACCGGCUAAUUCCGUGCCAGCAGCCGGGGUAUUACGGAAGGUCCGGGCGUUAUCCGGAUUUAUGGGGUUUAAAGGGAGCGUAGGCGGGCGUUUAAGUCAGCGGUGAAAGUCCGGGGAACAACCGUGGAAUUGCAGUGGAAACUGGAGGCUGUGAUUGCACACAGGGAUGCCGGAAUUCAUGGU
RNAcentral lists this ribosomal RNA (341 nucleotides) under uncultured bacterium. RNAcentral describes it as "partial 16S ribosomal RNA". It matches the Rfam family "Bacterial small subunit ribosomal RNA", at positions 338 to 674 of the family's 1533-position model. The record is from RNAcentral.